This is an RNA transcript of Lycium ferocissimum, 936 nucleotides long. RefSeq lists it as uncharacterized. Lineage: Eukaryota; Viridiplantae; Streptophyta; Magnoliopsida; Solanales; Solanaceae. The transcript has 7 exons. The record is from RefSeq and is a predicted model, not a curated record.
UCACCGGUUAUUGCUAUGUCGACGGUAAGUUCUUCGACGCAAUACAGUAAUUACUCUCACAACGGAACCUACUUUCCGACGCCGUUUCAUCUCCAACAGUCCUACAUUAGCCCUUCUCCUUCGCCAGUGGCUAAUCCCGUUUAUAAUGCUACAACAGCUAUUCCAGGCGUUUACUCUUUGCCUCAGUAUCAACAAGCGCAGCAAUUAUUUCAAAAAGUUGCACAGACAAUCACGCCCGAGGCAAUUCAGAAUGUGAAAGCUGCGCUUGCACGCAGUGAGAUUGAGCAAAAAGCUGAGGCCAAAAAGAAAGCUGUGCCUCGAAAGGCAGCAGGACAGACUUGGGAAGAUCCUACUCUUGCAGACUGGCCAGAGAAUGAUUUUCGUAUAUUUUGUGGUAACCUUGGGAAUGAGGUGAAUGAUGAUGUUUUGUCGAAAGCAUUUUCAAGAUUUCCUUCCUUUAACAUGGCCAGGGUUGUGAGAGAAAAGCGGACUGGCAAGACCAAGGGAUUUGGAUUUGUAAGCUUUUCAAAUCCUUCAGACCUUGCCGUGGCACUUAAAGAAAUGAAUGGGUAUGGUUAGAUAUCUUUUGAAGAUCACCGAACUAGAAUGGUAUGUGAUGAUAACCCUCAAUUGCAUCUGGGAUUUUCUUUGUUAAGAUGCUUGAUGAUGCCUUAUACGGGUCUCUUUCGACCCCUUGUUUGAUGUCAUAAGGUUGAAAGAUUUACCCCGAUGGCAGUGUGUUAUCGGCAGACCCCUCUGGAUGACCCAGCACCACAACAACUAGGAGUGUGUUGUUGACGUUAAAUUAGGGAAAUAUGUUGGAAACAGGCCAGUUCAACUUCGGAAGAGUAAAUGGAAAGACAGGAUUGACUAUGAAGCUUUGGUGAAACAGAAGAAUGAGUCUUUGAAGAAAGCUAAGUCGCCAAAGAAGAGUGU